Molecule: ribosomal RNA, 497 nt
Filed under: uncultured bacterium
Lineage: Bacteria
Description: partial 16S ribosomal RNA
Rfam family: Bacterial small subunit ribosomal RNA
Source: RNAcentral
GAUGAACGCUGGCGGCGUGCCUAAUACAUGCAAGUCGAGCGAACAGAUGAGGAUCUUGCUCCUCUGACGUUAGCGGCGGACGGGUGAGUAACACUUGGAGAACCUACCUAUAAGACUGGGAUAACUUCGGGAAACCGGAGCGAAUACCGGAUAAUAUAUUGAACCGCAUGGUGCAAUAGUGAAAGACGGUUUUGCUGGCACUGAUAUAUGGAUCCGCGCCGCAUUAGCUAGUUGGUAAGGUAACGGAUUACCAAGGCAACGAUGCGUAGCCGACCAGAGAGGGUGACAGGCCACACUGGAACUGAGAGACGGUCCAGACUCCUACGGGAGGCAGCAGCAGGGAACUUUCCGAAACAGGCGAAAGCCUGACGGAGCAACGCCGCGUGAGUGAUGAAGGUCUUCGGAUCGUAAAACUCUGUUAUUAGGGAAGAACAAAUGUUUAAGUAACUAUGCAAGUAUUGACGGUACCUAAUCAGAAAGCAACGGCUAACUCCGUG